This 305-nucleotide ribosomal RNA is filed under the name uncultured bacterium. RNAcentral's name for it is "bacterial SSU rRNA". It matches the Rfam family "Bacterial small subunit ribosomal RNA", at positions 333 to 652 of the family's 1533-position model. The record is from RNAcentral.
AAGCGCCUACGGGAGGCAGCAGUGGGGAAUAUUGGGCAAUGGGCGCAAGCCUGACCCAGCAACGCCGCGUGAAGGAAGAAGGCUUUCGGGUUGUAAACUUCUUUUCUCAGGGACGAAGCAAGUGACGGUACCUGAGGAAUAAGCCACGGCUAACUACGUGCCAGCAGCCGCGGUAAUACGUAGGUGGCAAGCGUUAUCCGGAUUUACUGGGUGUAAAGGGCGUGUAGGCGGGAAAGCAAGUCAGAUGUGCAAACCAUGGGCUCAACCUGUGGCCUGCAUUUGUAACUAUUUUUCUUGUGUACUGG